RNAcentral lists this ribosomal RNA (387 nucleotides) under uncultured bacterium. Its description in RNAcentral is "bacterial SSU rRNA". It matches the Rfam family "Bacterial small subunit ribosomal RNA", at positions 28 to 416 of the family's 1533-position model. The record is from RNAcentral.
GACGAACGCUGGCGGCGUGCUUAACACAUGCAAGUCGAGCGGAGAGGCCCUUUUGGGGGUACUCGAGCGGCGAACGGGUGAGUAACACGUGAGUAAUCUGCCCUUCACUCUGGGAUAACUGCCUGAAAGGGUGGCUAAUACUGGAUGCGACCAACUGCUGCAUGGUGUGUUGGUGGAAAGCGUUUAGUGGUGGGGGAUGUGCUCGCGGCCUAUCAGCUUGNGGUGGGGUAAUGGCCUACCAAGGCUUUGACGGGUAGCCGGCCUGAGAGGGUGACCGGCCACACUGGGACUGAGACACUGCCCAGACUCCUACGGGAGGCUGCAGUCGAGAAUCUUCGGCAAUGGGCGCAAGCCUGACCGAGCGACGCCGCGUGGAGGAUGAAGGCC